GACGAACGCUGGCGGCGUGCCUAACACAUGCAAGUCGAGCGGAGGCGCCUGAAGAGCAAUCGGAGGGUGUCUGAGCGGCGGACGGGUGAGUAACGCGUGAGCGAUCUGCCUUUCACAGGGGGAUAACGCAGCGAAAGCUGCACUAAUACCGCAUGAGACCACGGUACUGAUGGUACAGGGGUCAAAGGAGAGAUCCGGUGAGAGAUGAGCUCGCGUCCGAUUAGGUAGUUGGUGAGGUAACGGCCCACCAAGCCAAUGAUCGGUAGCCGGCCUGAGAGGGUGAACGGCCACAUUGGAACUGAGAGACGGUCCGAACUCCUACGGGAGGCAGCAGUGGGGAAUAUUGGGCAAUGGGGGAAACCCUGACCCAGCAACGCCGCGUGAGGGAAGAAGGUUUUCGGAUUGUAAACCUCUGUUCUUGGAGAAGAGGAGAAGACGGUAUCCAAGGAGGAUGCCCCGGCUAACUACGUGCCAGCCGCCGCGGUAA
This 487-nucleotide ribosomal RNA is filed under the name uncultured bacterium. Its description in RNAcentral is "partial 16S ribosomal RNA". It matches the Rfam family "Bacterial small subunit ribosomal RNA", at positions 28 to 523 of the family's 1533-position model. The record is from RNAcentral.